GUGGAGUUUGGGGACAUGGCACGCCUGUGAGAGGCCAGGUGAAACUGCGUGCUCCACGGCAGUGCUCCCAAAAGCAGAGGCUGGGUCUCCCCUGCUCUGGGCUCAUAGCCCCCAGCCUCAGCUCUGGCUCUCUUGCUCUUCUCUUAUCUCAGAUCCCAAUGCCUCGGAUCUCUCCCAUGCCCUUCCAUGUGCUGCAAGGAAUCAGGAACAUCCUCAAACGUUACUCAGCAAGGCAAAUGACCUGCAGAAGGGCUGCGACACCCUGGCUAGCAAGCACACCUGGGUGGCAGUCCACCUGCUUUUAUCCCUGAUGCAGCCCUGGCUCUUGCCCUGAUAGGAGGGGCUUGGGGUCACAGUCCACGAGAUUGGCUAAUUUUAAAACUGGGGCGGGCAAAGGGAAGGGCUGUAGUUCAAGUGGCUACAAUUGGAUCUUACAUCCCAGUUAAGGCUAAAUGCUAUAUUCUGAAAAUGGACCACUGGCUUCUAUUUCUCACAAGUCCCCCUUUUUAUAUCUUUUGGUCUCAUUUUCAGUUUUGUUCUCGUAUCCUUUGGUACUGACAUCUGUCCUGAACGGGUUAACUUUUUGAGGAGGAAACUGCCCAUGGUAAUGAGUUCUGCCCUCUGGGCAGUUCAGAUAGCCGACCAGUGAUCAGGAGGCUUGCUGAGGUCCUUCCCAGCUCAGUUAAAGCUUGUCUUCUUUCCAGGUCUUGAUUAAAAUCAAGCUGCCAGGCUGGAAGUGACGAGUUGCAAACUCCAAAAGAGGACUCCGAGCAGCAGCUCAUAAUAAUCAUAUCAGCCAACGAAGCACAGAUAGGUCUCAAAUUGACUCAGAACAAACCGUGACUCUGACAGAGCUUUUGUGAUAUUCAUCAGGCCCUCCUGCAUAAACCCCUUC
RNAcentral lists this long non-coding RNA (895 nucleotides) under Marmota monax (woodchuck). The record is from RNAcentral. Lineage: Eukaryota; Metazoa; Chordata; Mammalia; Rodentia; Sciuridae.